AAACACUACAGGACCUUUACAAAAAGCCAAAGCCAAAUAAAUUUGCAGUUACCCAGCUCCUUGAUCAUGAAUUUAAUGCACAGAGGUAAUUUAUAGAUUAUAUGGGAGGCUUACCCAUGCUUUAAAGAACUGGAUCAUGUAAUGGAUGAAAUGCAUUGUAUUCUUAGUUGGAAUAAUCUUAACUACAUCAUAGAAGUUAAGAGCAGAUGGACCAGUUUUUAUGGAAAAGCACAGCUGUAUGGAGUAAUGAAGAAGAUCCUGAAGCCUCCACAUAUGCACGAUGAUGUGAAAAAUGCCAUCGCCAUGUUUAGAGCUCUGCCAUCCAUGUUUCCUUCACUUUCUCUAUCCCCCAAAAAGCUGGGAAACAAAACAUGAGGCAUUAGUUCAUGGCCUUAAGGUAAAACUUUGCAUUUUUACAUUGUUUAAAGGAAAAAUAAAGACAGUUACUGAAAUUCUAUCCAUCUUUGACUGGCAGCAAUUUUCAGGGUUGUUUUUAAUGUUAGCUACAGGAACAACACUGUACAUUAAACGGUUUGAUUAAAAGGGCUCAACAGAAUAUAACAAUCUUCAAUUUUUAGUGAUUUCUUUGCUAUUUCAAUUACAAGCUGUGUAUAACUGCUUCUGUUAAAAUUAGCACAUUAAUUCAGUAUUAUAAAUAAGUAAAUGUAUAAUAAAUCUGUAUAGGACUACAGAGAAUAAAAUAAAUUCAGCCUAUUUUCUUUGUUGGUUUUUGUUUGUCUUGAAGACCUCCGAGAAUCCUGAUGCCUUUCUACAGCAAAGACUGACCACUGUCUAGCCCUGCCCUUAUUGUGGACCAAGAUAACUGCAUGCUAGCUAUUGGAAGUGAGCCUGUGACAACUUUCCCUCAAGAAAUGUUGCAGGAAGGUAUCAUGUACCUUAUGGCAUACUAUUAUGCACUACAUCUAACAUAUCCUAAGUGCAUUGCCACUGUCCUCUCUGUAAUUCAAACUGAAAUAUUACUGGACACAGUUUGAAGGGAAAAUACAAAUACAGUAUGCUAGAAGAAAAAUUGUGUGAGCCAAACGUAGAA
Molecule: long non-coding RNA, 1051 nt
Organism: Erpetoichthys calabaricus (reedfish)
Lineage: Eukaryota; Metazoa; Chordata; Cladistia; Polypteriformes; Polypteridae
Exons: 3
Source: RefSeq, a predicted model, not a curated record